GACGAACGCUGGCGGCGCGCCUAACACAUGCAAGUCGAACGGAGCUGAGAGAAGCUUGCUUUUCUUAGAUUAGUGGCGAACGGGUGAGUAACGCGUGAGUAACCUGCCCUGGAGUGGGGGACAACAGUUGGAAACGACUGCUAAUACCGCAUAAGCCCACGAUCCGGCAUCGGAUUGAGGGAAAAGGAUUUAUUCGCUUCAGGAUGGACUCGCGUCCAAUUAGCUAGUUGGUGAGGUAACGGCCCACCAAGGCGACGAUUGGUAGCCGGACUGAGAGGUUGAACGGCCACAUUGGGACUGAGACACGGCCCAGACUCCUACGGGAGGCAGCAGUGGGGGAUAUUGCACAAUGGGGGAAACCCUGAUGCAGCGACGCCGCGUGGAGGAAGAAGGUUUUCGGAUUGUAAACUCCUGUCGUUAGGGACGAUAAUGACGGUACCUAACAAGAAAGCACCGGCUAACUACGUG
RNAcentral lists this ribosomal RNA (468 nucleotides) under uncultured bacterium. RNAcentral describes it as "partial 16S ribosomal RNA". It matches the Rfam family "Bacterial small subunit ribosomal RNA", at positions 28 to 507 of the family's 1533-position model. The record is from RNAcentral.